Molecule: small nuclear RNA, 165 nt
Filed under: Tupaia belangeri chinensis (Chinese tree shrew)
Lineage: Eukaryota; Metazoa; Chordata; Mammalia; Scandentia; Tupaiidae
Description: Tupaia chinensis (Chinese tree shrew) U4 spliceosomal RNA
Rfam family: U4 spliceosomal RNA
About the family: U4 small nuclear RNA (U4 snRNA) is a component of the major U2-dependent spliceosome. The structure of U4 snRNA from yeast and human has been reported. U4 snRNA presents a k-turn RNA motif in the 5p-SL related to recognition of Snu13 protein.
Source: Rfam by way of RNAcentral
AGCUUUGCGCAGUGGCAGUAUCGUAGCCAAUGAGGUUUAUCCGAGGCGCGAUUAUUGCUAAUUGAAAAAGAUCUCAAUGCCUAAGUUUCAUCUGAUUAAAGUAGAAUUCCGGGGUAUGAACCAGACAUUAGUAUUUAAUUAAAUUUAAAUAAAUUAAUUUUUUGA